GUUGUAUUUGUGCCUGAGCAUGGCAACAUUUUCUCCGAUCAGAUUCGGUUCCAUGGAGAUUGGCUGGCCUUUCCGGUUUACGGGUAUCCAAUUAAAAGCGAACAUGAUAAACUACCGGGUCUGAUGGUCCUCCCGAUUUCUCUGAGGUAUCCUCAACCAAAUGUUCCUCAAAUUGCUGCUGCUGAAGAUAACCGUGAUCGAGCGACUGGUUGAUUUUGUCGGUGAAAUGCGAACCGUAGUUUCUGGAGUUAAUUUGAUAAUGACUGUGUAGUUAGUGGCAUUAAUUGCCAGGUUAUGAGUUUAAUUCUGAUGGUUCAUUUGGUAGAUUAGAUCAUCUGCAUGCAAUUGAGUUUAUGAUACCUUUUGGCAUAUAACUAGUAAAAAAAUGAAUUUCUUAUUUCAGUUUUGGCAUUUAAUGCUAAACAGUAGAGUCUGUAUUAUUCUUUA
Mercurialis annua (annual mercury) is the source of this 447-nucleotide long non-coding RNA. RefSeq lists it as uncharacterized. NCBI's taxonomy places the organism in Eukaryota, Viridiplantae, Streptophyta, Magnoliopsida, Malpighiales, Euphorbiaceae. The record is from RefSeq and is a predicted model, not a curated record. The transcript is spliced from 2 exons.